This 74-nucleotide small RNA is filed under the name Salix viminalis (osier). Lineage: Eukaryota; Viridiplantae; Streptophyta; Magnoliopsida; Malpighiales; Salicaceae. The record is from RNAcentral.
ACCUCUAUUUGAUGAAAUCUGUUACUCUCAAAGCCUAAUGACAAUGAAAAUGCUGAUCCUCCUUUGCUAGAGGU